This 164-nucleotide ribosomal RNA is filed under the name Raphanus sativus (radish). RNAcentral describes it as "5.8S ribosomal RNA". It matches the Rfam family "5.8S ribosomal RNA". Rfam says of the family: 5.8S ribosomal RNA (5.8S rRNA) is a component of the large subunit of the eukaryotic ribosome. RNAcentral also lists the same sequence under 2 other names. Lineage: Eukaryota; Viridiplantae; Streptophyta; Magnoliopsida; Brassicales; Brassicaceae. The record is from RNAcentral.
AUAACGACUCUCGGCAACGGAUAUCUCGGCUCUCGCAUCGAUGAAGAACGUAGCGAAAUGCGAUACUUGGUGUGAAUUGCAGAAUCCCGUGAACCAUCGAGUCUUUGAACGCAAGUUGCGCCCCAAGCCUUCUGGCCGAGGGCACGUCUGCCUGGGUGUCACAA